AUUGAACGCUGGCGGCAGGCCUAACACAUGCAAGUCGAACGGUAACAGGAAGAAGCUUGCUUCUUUGCUGACGAGUGGCGGACGGGUGAGUAAUGUCUGGGAAACUGCCUGAUGUAGGGGGAUAACUACUGGAAACGGUAGCUAAUACCGCAUAACGUCCCAAGACCAAAGAGGGGGACCUUCUGGCCCCUUGCCCUCGGAUGUGCCCAGAUGGGAUUAGCUAGUAGGUGGGGUAAAGGCCCACCAAGGCGACGAUCCGUAGCUGGUCUGAGAGGAUGACCAGCCACACUGGAACUGAGACACGGUCCAGACUCCUACGGGAGGCAGCAGUGGGGAAUAUUGGACAAUGGGCGGAAGUCUGAUCCAGCCAUACCGCGUGGGUGAAGAAGGCCUUCGGGUUGUAAAGCCCUUUUGUUGGGAAAGAAAAGCAGCAGGUUAAUACCCCGCUGUACUGACGGUACCCAAAGAUUAAGCACCGGCUAACUUCGUG
Molecule: ribosomal RNA, 490 nt
Filed under: uncultured bacterium
Lineage: Bacteria
Description: partial 16S ribosomal RNA
Rfam family: Bacterial small subunit ribosomal RNA
Source: RNAcentral